CGGGACGGGUGGAGUAACGCGUGAGUAACCUGCCUUCAAGAGGGGGAGUAACAUUCUGAAAAGAAAUGCUAAUACCGCAUGACAUAUCGGAACCACAUGGUUUUGUAUAUCAAAGAUUUUAUCGCUUGAAGAUGGACUCGCGUCCGAUUAGUUAGUUGGUGAGGUAACGGCUCACCAAGACCGCGAUCGGUAGCCGGACUGAGAGGUUGAACGGCCACAUUGGGACUGAGACACGGUCCAAACUCCUACGGGAGGCAGCAUG
Molecule: ribosomal RNA, 262 nt
Filed under: uncultured bacterium
Lineage: Bacteria
Description: partial 16S ribosomal RNA
Rfam family: Bacterial small subunit ribosomal RNA
Source: RNAcentral